GAUGAAGAACGUAGCGAAAUGCGAUACUUGGAGUGAAUUGCAGAAUCCCGUGAACCAUCGAGUCUUUGAACGCAAGUUGCGCCCGAAGCCAUUAGGCCGAGGGCACGCCUGCCUGGGCGUCACACGUCGUUGCCCCCCCAUCUACUCCUUCGGGAUUGCGGGGGGCGGAUGAUGGCCUCCCGUGCGCCUCGUCGCGCGGUUGGCAUAAAUACCAAGUCCUCGGCGACGCACGCCACGACAAUCGGUGGUUGCGAAACCUCGGUUGCCCGUCGUGUGCGGUCGUCGCGCAUCGAGGGCUCGAAAAAAUUGCCGGGCUCCGGCUCGGCUUUCAACGCGACCCCAGGUCAGGCGGGGUUACCCGCUGAAUUUAAGCAUAUCAAUAAGCGGAGGA
RNAcentral lists this unclassified non-coding RNA (391 nucleotides) under soil metagenome. Its description in RNAcentral is "partial contains 5.8S ribosomal RNA, internal transcribed spacer 2, and large subunit ribosomal RNA". The stretch from base 1 to 122 matches the Rfam family "5.8S ribosomal RNA", at positions 35 to 154 of the family's 154-position model. The record is from RNAcentral.